Molecule: ribosomal RNA, 253 nt
Filed under: uncultured prokaryote
Description: partial 16S ribosomal RNA
Rfam family: Bacterial small subunit ribosomal RNA
Source: RNAcentral
UACAGAGGUCUCAAGCGUUGUUCGGAUUCAUUGGGCGUAAAGGGUGCGUAGGUGGUGCUGUAAGUCAGGUGUGAAAUCCCGGGGCUCAACCCCGGAACUGCACUUGAUACUGCAGUGCUCGAGGACUGGAGAGGAGAUCGGAAUUCAUGGUGUAGCAGUGAAAUGCGUAGAUAUCGAGAGGAACACCUGCGGCGAAGGCGGGUUGCUGGGCUGACACUGACGCUGAUGCGCGAAAGCCAGGGGAGCGAACGGG